UCCAGCAGCCGCGGUAAUACGUUCCCGGGCCUUGUACACACCGCCCGUCACGCCAUGGAAGCUGUGAGCGCCCGAAGUCCGUGUCGGAACCGCAAGGACCAAGCGGCCGAAGGCGAGCGCAGUGACUGGGGCGAAGUCGUAACAAGGUAGCCGUAGGGGAACCUGCGGCUGGAUCACCUCCUUAACGGAUCUGGCGAGUAGGAGCCGACGAUCGUCGAGCGCUGAAAACCUCCCGUAUGGUCGCCGUCUCGCCAUCCAUUCCCGAAUUCGAUUUUCUUAUUGCAGCUCCUCGUCGGCGUGCCGCGCGCAGCGCGGCCGUCGGCGUCGCUGUUUGACAACGGAAGUAAUGGUAGAUCGUGGGAUAGCGAAUUCACACUGAGAGACCUUCGCAAGAUUGUCACUCGUGAAGAUCGCGCGUGCUCUGCUUGCUACGAGGUAGGAGUUGUAGUCAAGCGGACGGAGGCAUGUGGAGGAUACCUAGGCACACAGAGAAUA
RNAcentral lists this unclassified non-coding RNA (495 nucleotides) under uncultured bacterium. RNAcentral's name for it is "partial contains 16S ribosomal RNA, 16S-23S ribosomal RNA intergenic spacer, and 23S ribosomal RNA". The stretch from base 1 to 184 matches the Rfam family "Bacterial small subunit ribosomal RNA", at positions 1348 to 1533 of the family's 1533-position model. The record is from RNAcentral.